UACGGAGGGGGCAAGCGUUAUUCGGAAUUAUUGGGCGUAAAGGGCGCGUAGGCGGCUAGAUGCGUCACAGGUGAAAUCCCUCGGCUCAACUGAGGAACUGCCUUUGAAACUGUCUGGCUUGAGGCCGGGAGAGGGUAGCGGAAUUCCCAGUGUAGCGGUGAAAUGCGUAGAUAUUGGGAGGAACACCAGUGGCGAAGGCGGCUACCUGGACCGGUUCUGACGCUGAGGCGCGAAAGCGUGGGUAGCAAACAGG
This 253-nucleotide ribosomal RNA is filed under the name uncultured bacterium. RNAcentral's name for it is "partial 16S ribosomal RNA". It matches the Rfam family "Bacterial small subunit ribosomal RNA", at positions 524 to 776 of the family's 1533-position model. The record is from RNAcentral.